UACAGAGGGUGCGAGCGUUGUUCGGAAUUACUGGGCGUAAAGCGCGUGUAGGCGGCGGGAUAAGUCGCAUGUGAAAGCCCUCGGCUCAACCGAGGAAGUGCAUGCGAUACUGUUUCGCUUGAAUGCCGGAGGGGAUGGCGGAAUUCCCGGUGUAGAGGUGAAAUUCGUAGAUAUCGGGAGGAACACCUGUGGCGAAGGCGGCCAUCUGGACGGCGAUUGACGCUGAGACGCGAAAGCGUGGGUAGCAAACAGGAUUAGAUACCCUGGUAGUCCACGCUGUAAACGAUGAGUGCUAGACGUCGCGGGUAUUGACCCCUGCGGUGUCGAAGGUAACCCGUUAAGCACUCCGCCUGGGGAGUACGGUCGCAAGAUUAAA
This 376-nucleotide ribosomal RNA is filed under the name uncultured bacterium. RNAcentral's name for it is "bacterial SSU rRNA". It matches the Rfam family "Bacterial small subunit ribosomal RNA", at positions 524 to 898 of the family's 1533-position model. The record is from RNAcentral.